This is a non-coding RNA of Trichobilharzia regenti, 37 nucleotides long. The record is from Rfam. NCBI's taxonomy places the organism in Eukaryota, Metazoa, Platyhelminthes, Trematoda, Strigeidida, Schistosomatidae.
AACGAGUCCCAAAUAGGACGAAAUGCGCAUCCUGGAU